GGUUGGUCCGAGUGCAGUGGUGUUUACAACUAAUUGAUCACGACCAGUUACAGAUUCCUUUGUUCCUUCUCCACUCCCACUGCUCCACUUAACCAGCCUUUA
This 102-nucleotide Y RNA is filed under the name Microcebus murinus (gray mouse lemur). RNAcentral describes it as "Y RNA (ENSMICG00000044179.1)". It matches the Rfam family "Y RNA". From Rfam's summary of the family: Y RNAs are components of the Ro ribonucleoprotein particle (Ro RNP), in association with Ro60 and La proteins. Lineage: Eukaryota; Metazoa; Chordata; Mammalia; Primates; Cheirogaleidae. The record is from Rfam by way of RNAcentral.